GAGGGUGUAGCUCAGUGGUAGAGUGAGUGUUUAGUAUGCAUGAGGUCCUGGAUUCAAUCCCCAGUACCUCUG
Molecule: transfer RNA, 72 nt
Filed under: Camelus bactrianus (Bactrian camel)
Lineage: Eukaryota; Metazoa; Chordata; Mammalia; Artiodactyla; Camelidae
Also listed under: 3 other names
Rfam family: tRNA
About the family: Transfer RNA (tRNA) molecules are approximately 80 nucleotides in length.
Source: Rfam by way of RNAcentral